UGCUCACAAUUUAAAAUCAGGCCUUUGAACUGUGAGUAAACUGCAUUAGACAGACAGGGGGAGCAAGAUGGAAUCACAGACCCAGGUCCUCAUGUCCCUGCUGCUCUGGAUUUCUGGUACCUGUGGGGACAUUGUGAUGACCCAAUCUCCAUCCUCCCUGGCUGUGUCAGCAGGAGAGACGGUCACUAUAAACUGCAAGUCCAGUCAGAGUCUUUUAUCCAGUGGAAACCAAAAGAACUACUUGGCCUGGUACCAGCAGAAACCAGGGCAGUCUCCUAAACUGCUGAUCUACUUGGCAUCCACUAGGGAAUCUGGUGUCCCUGAUCGCUUCAUAGGCAGUGGAUCUGGGACAGACUUCACUCUGACCAUCAGCAGUGUGCAGGCUGAAGAUCUGGCAGAUUAUUACUGUCAGCAGCAUUACAGCUAUCCUCCCACAGUGCUACAGCCUCCUACACAAACCUCCUUGAGAGUUUCAACAGCUGUGUACAUCAUACACAGCCCUGGAAUGCACACUGCCCUCAUCUGCCUGAGAGUUGCCAUGCCUAAAAGCUGAAGACACUGUUUUCAGAGCAUGGUAAAAAAAAUAAUAUGUUCAAUUCCUCCUAUGUUUUUUGGUAUAAAAAUUCUAUACACCAAAAUAUGGAAUAAAACCACAGUAUUAUUUUUCUAUUCUUCCUGCAACAAUUUACCACAAACCCUUCUGAUUGAAUAGAGGAAUUUACCUUUU
Non-coding RNA from Rattus norvegicus (Norway rat), 727 nucleotides. The record is from the annotation of a RefSeq genome assembly. Lineage: Eukaryota; Metazoa; Chordata; Mammalia; Rodentia; Muridae.